This 207-nucleotide ribosomal RNA is filed under the name uncultured bacterium. RNAcentral describes it as "partial 16S ribosomal RNA". It matches the Rfam family "Bacterial small subunit ribosomal RNA", at positions 568 to 774 of the family's 1533-position model. The record is from RNAcentral.
CGUGUAGGCGGCCGAUUAAGUUGGGAGUGAAAUUCCUGUUUUCAAGAUGGGAACUGCUUUCAAAACUGAUUGGCUUGAGUGCAGAAGAGGUAAGUGGAAUUCCCAGUGUAGCGGUGAAAUGCGUAGAGAUUGGGAGGAACACCAGUGGCGAAGGCGACUUACUGGGCUGUAACUGACGCUGAGGCGCGAAAGCGUGGGGAGCAAACA